Molecule: long non-coding RNA, 487 nt
Filed under: Gallus gallus (chicken)
Lineage: Eukaryota; Metazoa; Chordata; Aves; Galliformes; Phasianidae
Description: long non-coding RNA NONGGAT008544
Source: RNAcentral
GUAACUGGUUGUUAUGGAGAUGGUAAAAUAUCAACCAUUCUUUGUGAGAGUGUGGAAGAUCAAUUUUGGAUCCAUUACAGCAGCUUCUUUUCCCUGCUCAGCUGUAAUCAGCCGUCCUUAGGAAGCGACAGGGAUGCCAUGAUUGCAAGCCUGGAUUUGCUGGUUAACACUGUGAAACAGCUAAUGACUGGAGUCUAUGAACCUCUGUGCAUUUAAGCUAGCCUCAUUUGUAGCUGCCAUCUAUGGACAUUCCAAAACAGCAAAGAGCUGAGACAGGGAGAAAGGGGGGGAGGAGGGAAGAUGGUGAAAAAGAGAAAGAACAUGAAUGAAUGAUGAGUUGCAGAUAUUUUGGGUCACCUUACACCAGGGCCAACUUUUAUUCAAGUAUGUCAUGCUGUUGAGUGAAGUUGAAGGAAAAAACAAAUAUUAAACUGAAAAAAGAACAAGUUGUAAUCAUGCAAUGAAAGCAAAUAAAUGACUGUGCAAU